Molecule: ribosomal RNA, 438 nt
Filed under: Triticum aestivum (bread wheat)
Lineage: Eukaryota; Viridiplantae; Streptophyta; Magnoliopsida; Poales; Poaceae
Description: partial small subunit ribosomal RNA
Source: RNAcentral
AUGGGUGCCGCCUUAAAUCAUCAGCACAUGAGUGGUUGCCUGAUCAAAUGCUCACCCUGGACGGCCUGCUCGCCAAAGUGGUUACGCCGAGUUAUAGCUACUGGGCCACCGUCUCGCCGCUCUGGGUGUGGUGUCACUCCUGUUCCCGACAUCAGUAAUCAAUAUGUUGACUUGGCACUUCCAUUUGCGACAUACCUGGUAAUUGUCGAAGAGUUGGAUGAUUGUAAGCCGGAUGUACCAUUAACAACAAUGGUGAGGAUGGAUUGGGGAGACGAAGAUUACAGGAGGACAAAGAAGGAGGAGGAGGAUUUCAAGGUAAAAAGAUCGACAAUGCUAUUUGAUGUGCAUGAGGAUCCUAAACAAAACAUAAUUGAUGUGAAACCAAUAGGAUAUUUAUGCCCCGUUGCAACGCACGGGCAAUUACCUAAUUUUUAUUGA